GGANUUGGAAUGGGGGAACCCUGAUCCAGCCAUGCCGCGUGAGUGAUGAAGGCCCUAGGGUUGUAAAACUCUUUCGCACGCGACGAUAAUGACGGUAGCGUGAGAAGAAGCUCCGGCUAACUUCGUGCCAGCAGCCGCGGUAAUACGAAGGGGGCUAGCGUUGUUCGGAAUUACUGGGCGUAAAGCGCGCGCAGGCGGUCCUUCAAGUCAGAGGUGAAAGCCCAGGGCUCAACCCUGGAACUGCCUUUGAGACUAGAGGACUUGGGUACGGGAGAGGUGAGUGGAAUUCCGAGUGUAGAGGUGAAAUUCGUAGAUAUUCGGAAGAACACCAGUGGCGAAGGCGGCUCACUGGCCCGUUACCGACGCUCAGGCGCGACAGCGUGGGGAGCAAACAGGAUUAGAUACCCUGGUAGUCCACGCCGUAAACGAUGGAUGCUAGCCGUUGGUAAGCUUGCUUAUCAGUGGCGCAGCUAACGCAUUAAGCAUCCCGCCUGGGGAGUACGGCCGCAAGGUUGAAACUCAAAAAAAUUGACGGA
This 536-nucleotide ribosomal RNA is filed under the name uncultured bacterium. Its description in RNAcentral is "bacterial SSU rRNA". It matches the Rfam family "Bacterial small subunit ribosomal RNA", at positions 359 to 917 of the family's 1533-position model. The record is from RNAcentral.